Molecule: ribosomal RNA, 439 nt
Filed under: uncultured bacterium
Lineage: Bacteria
Description: partial 16S ribosomal RNA
Rfam family: Bacterial small subunit ribosomal RNA
Source: RNAcentral
CCUACGGGGGGCAGCAGUGGGGAAUAUUGCACAAUGGGCGAAAGCCUGAUGCAGCAACGCCGCGUGAGCGAUGAAGGCCUUCGGGUCGUAAAGCCCUGUCCUCAAGGAAGCUAAUGACGGUACUUGAGGAGGAAGCCCCGGCUAACUACGUGCCAGCAGCCGCGGUAAUACGUAGGGGGCUAGCGUUAUCCGGAAUUCCUGGGCGUAAAGGGUGCGUAGGUGGAUUCUUAAGUCAGAGGUGAAAGGCUAGGGCUCAACCGUGGUAAGCCUUUGAAACUGUGAAACGUGAGUGGAGGAGAGGAGAGUGGAAUUCCUAGUGUAGCGGUGAAAUGCGUAGAUAUUAGGAGGAACACCAGUUGCGAAGGCGGCUCUCUGGACUGUAACUGACGCUGAGGCACGAAAGCGUGGGGAGCGAACAGGAUUAGAUACCCCUGUAGUC